AGAAAUGUGUCCGAAAAAGAGUUACUUUGAUAGAGUAAAAUAUAGAGGUUUAAACCCUCUCAUUUCUA
Molecule: transfer RNA, 68 nt
Filed under: Spalacopus cyanus (coruro)
Lineage: Eukaryota; Metazoa; Chordata; Mammalia; Rodentia; Octodontidae
Description: tRNA-Ile
Rfam family: tRNA
About the family: Transfer RNA (tRNA) molecules are approximately 80 nucleotides in length. Their secondary structure includes four short double-helical elements and three loops (D, anti-codon, and T loops).
Source: RNAcentral